GGAUAUUUUACUUACCUGGACAUAUUUUGGGAUAGAGGGACUGGUAGUUCAACAAGGGAAAUCUGAUUUUUGGACGUGUUAAAUAAUACCAUGUCACAUCAGGUACCAGCACUAACUAGAAAGCAUCCUUGUCUGGAUCUUUUGACCGACAUUCAAGUAGGGGAGUGUCAUGCCAAAAGCAUGAGUUGGUGUUUGAUGUGUGUUUAUAUAUG
Pelobates cultripes (western spadefoot toad) is the source of this 212-nucleotide non-coding RNA. The record is from the annotation of a GenBank genome assembly. NCBI's taxonomy places the organism in Eukaryota, Metazoa, Chordata, Amphibia, Anura, Pelobatidae.